This 310-nucleotide ribosomal RNA is filed under the name uncultured soil bacterium. RNAcentral describes it as "bacterial SSU rRNA". It matches the Rfam family "Bacterial small subunit ribosomal RNA", at positions 26 to 333 of the family's 1533-position model. The record is from RNAcentral.
AGGAUGAACGCUGGCGGCGUGCUUAACACAUGCAAGUCGAACGGUGAACUUGGGAGCUUGCUCCCGGGGGACCAGUGGCGAACGGGUGAGUAACACGUGAGUAACCUGCCCUUGACUCUGGGAUAAGCACUGGAAGCGGUGUCUAAUACCGGAUACGAGCUUCAGCCGCAUGGCUAGGAGCUAGGAAAGAUUUCGGUACAAGGAUGGACUCGCGGCCUAUCAGGUAGUUGGUGAGGUAAAGGCUACACAAGCCGACGACGGUAGCCGGCCUGAGAGGGUGACCGGCCACACUGGACUGAGACACGGCCCA